Molecule: ribosomal RNA, 427 nt
Filed under: uncultured Chlamydiae bacterium
Lineage: Bacteria; Pseudomonadati; Chlamydiota; Chlamydiia
Description: bacterial SSU rRNA
Rfam family: Bacterial small subunit ribosomal RNA
Source: RNAcentral
AACGCGAAGAACCUUACCCGGGUUUGAAAUGUAGAGGACGAUAACAGAGAUGUUAUUUCCCGAAAGGGUCUUUACACAGGUGCUGCAUGGCUGUCGUCAGCUCGUGCCGUGAGGUGUUGGGUUAAGUCCCGCAACGAGCGCAACCCUUAUCGUUAGUUGCCAACAUUUAAGAUGGGAACUCUAACGAGACUGCCUAGGUUAACUAGGAGGAAGGUGAGGAUGACGUCAAGUCCGCAUGGCCUUUAUAUCCGGGGCUACACACGUGCUACAAUGGUCGGUACAGAGGGCAGCGAGACCGCAAGGUGGAGCAAAUCCCACAAAGCCGAUCUCAGUUCGGAUUGUAGUCUGCAACUCGACUACAUGAAGCUGGAAUUGCUAGUAAUGGCGAGUCAGCAAUAUCGCCGUGAAUACGUUCCCGGGCCUUGUA